GUUCAGGUAGUUUAAUUUAGAAUAAUAAUUUGUGGUGUUAUAGGUAUAUUUUAUAUUCUGGAUC
Molecule: transfer RNA, 64 nt
Filed under: Lethocerus indicus
Lineage: Eukaryota; Metazoa; Arthropoda; Insecta; Hemiptera; Belostomatidae
Description: tRNA-His
Source: RNAcentral